AUUGAACGCUGGCGGCAGGCCUAACACAUGCAAGUCGAGCGGAUGAAGGGAGCUUGCUCCUGGAUUCAGCGGCGGACGGGGGAGUAAUGCCUAGGAAUCUGCCGGGUAGUGGGGGAUAACGUCCGGAAACGGGCGCUAAUACCGCAUACGUCCUGAGGGAGAAAGUGGGGGAUCUUCGGACCUCACGCUAUCAGAUGAGCCUAGGUCGGAUUAGCUAGUUGGUGGGGUAAAGGCCUACUAAGGCGACGAUCCGUAACUGGUCUGAGAGGAUGAUCAGUCACACUGGAACUGAGACACGGUCCAGACUCCUACGGGAGGCCGCAGUGGGGAAUAUUGGACAAUGGGCGAAAGCCUGAUCCAGCCAUGCCGCGUGUGUGAAGAAGGUCUUCGGAUUGUAAAGCACUUUAAGUUGGGAGGAAGGGCAGUAAGUUAAUACCUUGCUGUUUUGACGUUACCAACAGAAUAAGCACCGGCUAACUUCGUG
This 484-nucleotide ribosomal RNA is filed under the name uncultured bacterium. RNAcentral describes it as "partial 16S ribosomal RNA". It matches the Rfam family "Bacterial small subunit ribosomal RNA", at positions 30 to 507 of the family's 1533-position model. The record is from RNAcentral.